RNAcentral lists this ribosomal RNA (244 nucleotides) under uncultured Hydrogenophaga sp. Its description in RNAcentral is "partial 16S ribosomal RNA". It matches the Rfam family "Bacterial small subunit ribosomal RNA", at positions 1140 to 1382 of the family's 1533-position model. The record is from RNAcentral. Lineage: Bacteria; Pseudomonadati; Pseudomonadota; Betaproteobacteria; Burkholderiales; Comamonadaceae.
CUGAUGGGACUGCCGGUGACAAACCGGAGGAAGGUGGGGAUGACGUCAAGUCCUCAUGGCCCUUAUAGGUGGGGCUACACACGUCAUACAAUGGCCGGUACAAAGGGCAGCCAACCCGCGAGGGGGAGCCAAUCCCAUAAAGCCGGUCGUAGUCCGGAUCGCAGUCUGCAACUCGCCUGCAUGAAGCCGGAAUCGCUAGUAAUCGCGGAUCAGCAUGCCGCGGUCGAAUACGUUCCCGGGCCUU